This 68-nucleotide transfer RNA is filed under the name Elgaria multicarinata. Its description in RNAcentral is "tRNA-Trp". Lineage: Eukaryota; Metazoa; Chordata; Lepidosauria; Squamata; Anguidae. RNAcentral also lists the same sequence under 1 other name. The record is from RNAcentral.
AGAAAUUUAGGUUACAUAAAACCAAGAGCCUUCAAAGCCCUAAACAAGGAACAACUCCUUAAUUUCUG